AUAACCUCACAGUAGGUACAGGGCAUUUUUCGUAGGCCGAUAUAACUUAUAGAAAUGACAAGGAUAUAUAUACUGGGCGAUAGGCAUUUUUGUAGCAGAGCACACAAAAUCCUAACGAUGCCAACAGCAUUUUAAUAAUGCCUUUAUAAACUGCUUACUCCACAAGCCAAGACAUAAGUUAACGUGUCAAAAGCAGUUGCAGCUAGACACUGAAACACAAGUAUCUGGUGGCUUUGAUAAAUGUCAGCCCACGUUAACAUGAAGACACAAAACGGAUCAAUUCAAUAAUAUUAGUUUCAACCCAAGAUUCGGUUUAGUUUGCAUGGGAUGUGCACCCUUUUAUAGCAAUGUCAAUUUGGGCGAUGAUAUUGAGAGCCUCACUGAGAAAACCGAAACUUAAAUCCAUUUUGCAAUCACUUUUUAUAGGGCAUCUCCCGGGCAAAUGAAAUGCAUCUAGAACCAAUCGUCAUCGGAUUUGUCACACAAAGAAAACAAGAUCGACCAGAU
This is a long non-coding RNA of Episyrphus balteatus (marmalade hoverfly), 507 nucleotides long. RefSeq lists it as uncharacterized. The transcript is spliced from 3 exons. The record is from RefSeq and is a predicted model, not a curated record. Lineage: Eukaryota; Metazoa; Arthropoda; Insecta; Diptera; Syrphidae.